UGAGCGGAAUGUGUUCAUAGCAAGUAAGAGGGAAUUUCUUGUGAAAUUCUAUGUGGGAAACAAGAAAGAAACGUGAGGGUUUCUAAGGUUUCAAAAAGGGGCUAAGGUUUGGCUUGGGCAAAUCUUAGUGUUGGCCAAGAACGACUUGCGUUCUUCGUCAAAAGUGGGCUGUGAGCGGACUGAUAGUUCAUAGCAAAGUGAGGGUCCUUUGUAUGAUUUUGUUAUUAAUGCAAAGGUUAGGAUUUUACCGUAUAUGUGUGUGUUCUUAAUUAUUGAAUUGCUGCUUGAAAAUCGUAUAAGGUCAAACUUGCUGAAAAUUGGCAAAGUGUUU
This 331-nucleotide long non-coding RNA is filed under the name Nicotiana benthamiana. Its description in RNAcentral is "long non-coding RNA (NBEN_LNC021847)". The record is from RNAcentral. Lineage: Eukaryota; Viridiplantae; Streptophyta; Magnoliopsida; Solanales; Solanaceae.